CCUACGGGGGCAGCAGUGGGGAAUAUUGGACAAUGGGCGAAAGCCUGAUCCAGCCAUGCCGCGUGUGUGAAGAAGGCCUUCGGGUUGUAAAGCACUUUCAGUGGGGAAGAAAGCCUUGGGGCUAAUACCCUCGAGGAAGGACAUCACCCACAGAAGAAGCACCGGCUAACUCCGUGCCAGCAGCCGCGGUAAUACGGAGGGUGCGAGCGUUAAUCGGAAUUACUGGGCGUAAAGCGCGCGUAGGCGGUCUGAUAAGCCGGUUGUGAAAGCCCCGGGCUCAACCUGGGAACGGCAUCCGGAACUGUCAGGCUAGAGUGCAGGAGAGGAAGGUAGAAUUCCCGGUGUAGCGGUGAAAUGCGUAGAGAUCGGGAGGAAUACCAGUGGCGAAGGCGGCCUUCUGGACUGACACUGACGCUGAGGUGCGAAAGCGUGGGUAGCAAACAGGAUUAAUACCCUGGUAGUC
This 463-nucleotide ribosomal RNA is filed under the name Vreelandella stevensii. RNAcentral describes it as "partial 16S ribosomal RNA". It matches the Rfam family "Bacterial small subunit ribosomal RNA", at positions 338 to 795 of the family's 1533-position model. Lineage: Bacteria; Pseudomonadati; Pseudomonadota; Gammaproteobacteria; Oceanospirillales; Halomonadaceae. The record is from RNAcentral.